CCGAGCGUUAUCCGGAAUCAUUGGGUUUAAAGGGUCCGUAGGCGGGCCUGUAAGUCAGGGGUGAAAGUUUGUGGCUCAACCAUAAAAUUGCCUUUGAUACUGCAGGUCUUGAGUCAUGGUGGGGUUGCCGGAACAUGUGGUGUAGCGGUGAAAUGCAUAGAUAUCACAUAGAACACCGAUCGCGAAGGCAGGUGACCAACCAUGUACUGACGCUGAUGGACGAAAGCGUGGGUAGCGAACGGGAUUAGAUACCCCGGUAGUCCACGCCGUAAACGAUGGAUACUAGCUGUGGGGACUUCGGUCUCCGUGGCCAAGCGAAAGUGAUAAGUAUCCCACCUGGGGAGUACGUUCGCAAGAAUGAAACUCAAAGGAAUUGACGGGGGCCCGCACAAGCGGUGGAGCAUGUGGUUUAAUUCGAUGAUACGCGAGGAACCUUACCAGGGCUUAAAUGCAGGCUGCAUGGGGUAGAGAUACCCCUUUCUUCGGACCGCCUGCAAGGUGCUGCAUGGUUGUCGUCAGCUCGUGCCGUGAGGUGUCAGGUUAAGUCCUAUAACGAGCGCAACCCCUACCGUUAGUUGCCAGCAUGUCAAGAUGGGGACUCUAACGGGACUGCCGGUGCAAACCGUGAGGAAGGUGGGGACGACGUCAAAUCAUCACGGCCCUUACGUCCUGGGCUACACACGUGCUACAAUGGCCGGUACAGAGGGAAGCCACCCCGCAAGGGGGCGCGGAUCUACAAAACCGGUCACAGUUCGGAUCGGGGUCUGCAACUCGACCCCGUGAAGCUGGAAUCGCUAGUAAUCGGAUAUCAGCCAUGAUCCGGUGAAUACGUUCCCGGGCCUUGUACACACCGCCCGUCAAGCCAUGGAAGCC
RNAcentral lists this ribosomal RNA (873 nucleotides) under Flagellimonas marinaquae. RNAcentral describes it as "bacterial SSU rRNA". It matches the Rfam family "Bacterial small subunit ribosomal RNA", at positions 534 to 1412 of the family's 1533-position model. The record is from RNAcentral. Lineage: Bacteria; Pseudomonadati; Bacteroidota; Flavobacteriia; Flavobacteriales; Flavobacteriaceae.